This 71-nucleotide transfer RNA is filed under the name Eleotris picta (spotted sleeper). Its description in RNAcentral is "tRNA-Pro". It matches the Rfam family "tRNA". Rfam says of the family: Transfer RNA (tRNA) molecules are approximately 80 nucleotides in length. Their secondary structure includes four short double-helical elements and three loops (D, anti-codon, and T loops). The record is from RNAcentral. Lineage: Eukaryota; Metazoa; Chordata; Actinopteri; Gobiiformes; Eleotridae.
CAAAGAAUAGUUUAAUUUUAGAAUUCUAGCUUUGGGAGCUAGUGGUGGGAGUUAGAAUCUCCCUUCUUUGA